Molecule: long non-coding RNA, 516 nt
Filed under: Equus asinus (donkey)
Lineage: Eukaryota; Metazoa; Chordata; Mammalia; Perissodactyla; Equidae
Description: lncRNA (ENSEASG00005032588.1)
Source: RNAcentral
CUCCAGAUGGACACCUUAGCCUGCUCUGUGAAGGAGGAGCUGAAGGAAUAAUGCGGUUCUUUAGCUAUAAUUCUAGUUUGCACAAGAUCGCCCUCUGGAGGCCAAACAGAAGUAUGGAGACACACAAGAAGAGAGAAACUAAGAGACUUCACGGAAAAAUUGAAUGGACGAGUACAGCAGUCUUCUGAGUCAUUGCCUAUAACAGAUCACAUGGAAGCAUCAGAAUAAUCCUUAGGGCAGGGAAGUCCAAUCGAUUGACCCAGACUCAGUUUUGAGUAUGCAGCUGCUGGCAGGUAGAAAUUGAGCACCAUGACAAUUAAAACAAAAAUAUUACUUAGCUGUUGCUAAAAGAAGAAAGAAAGAAAGAAAAAAUUCCAGCCACUCCCCUAGAACAUCUCACAAAAUGAGCCAUUCCAAAAAACUAAAGCUAAGGACAAUAUGGAUAAGUUUCUGUAAAAUCUAAAUUGAGAAGUUAUAUCCAACAGGACUUGGUGAGUGUGCUAAAUUUGUCCUGAA